Long non-coding RNA from Corticium candelabrum, 454 nucleotides. RefSeq lists it as uncharacterized. The transcript has 3 exons. The record is from RefSeq and is a predicted model, not a curated record. NCBI's taxonomy places the organism in Eukaryota, Metazoa, Porifera, Homoscleromorpha, Homosclerophorida, Plakinidae.
AGUUUAACUUACACGUGCACGGUAGACCAUUCUCACGUGCACGCAUGUUGGAUCAUGCAUGACUUAGUAGUUCGAAAUGUGUUGUUAUGCUGACAGAUCGUGGGAAUUGCGCUUUCUCUGCGAGCAGUUACCACACUCAAAAUCGACUUUCUCGAGAAACAUUUGACUCCAGAAAAGCUUUUCGUGAUGCAACUAUUAUACAAGACGACAGAGGAUGUGUGAAGAAUAUUGGAAGGUGGAUCGGGGAAUGACAUGUCAAAGUACUCUCUAGCAAAAUCUAGCAACUGCUGUGACGUUUCUUACCAGAUUUAUGACGUUUGUUUACCAGUUUACAAUGCUGUAUACGCAUAACUCAAUCUUAACCAGUUAUAGUCAUUACCAGUUGGAUAUAACAGUGUACGCUCUAGAUGUUGAAGAAAGACUCAAAGUAACAUGAUAAUGUUUUGUGCUUGUA